This 414-nucleotide ribosomal RNA is filed under the name Triticum aestivum (bread wheat). RNAcentral's name for it is "partial small subunit ribosomal RNA". The record is from RNAcentral. Lineage: Eukaryota; Viridiplantae; Streptophyta; Magnoliopsida; Poales; Poaceae.
AUGGAGAAGGCGAGGAGGCGUCGCGUGCCGGCGUUCGGGGAGUGGAACUACAACUACCACCACCACGAGCCGGAGGCUGCGGCGGCGGCAGCAGCGUGCUACGCCACGCCGGAGCCGGAGGCCUGCAGCGACGUGUGGUUCAGGUACUCGCCUCCUCCACGCGAUCCCACGCCCAAGAAGAAGCACGCGAGGCGGCGGCGGCGGCCGGAGGGCGACGUGUCCCGGGAGCGCGCCAGGGCGUCCACGGACGCUGCUGUCAUGGCCAAGAACGGCGCCGCCCGGUACCAGGUGCGGCACGUCGACGAGGACCUGUACAAGGCGCCACCGCCGGAGCCCGCCUCCCACCGGCGUCCAAGGAAGAAGUGGAGCCUGUGGAUGGGAUGCCUGGGCCUCAGCUCACGCGUCGCCUCCUGA